This 343-nucleotide unclassified non-coding RNA is filed under the name soil metagenome. Its description in RNAcentral is "partial contains 5.8S ribosomal RNA, internal transcribed spacer 2, and large subunit ribosomal RNA". The stretch from base 1 to 120 matches the Rfam family "5.8S ribosomal RNA", at positions 35 to 154 of the family's 154-position model. The record is from RNAcentral.
GAUGAAGAACGCAGCGAAAUGCGAUAAGUAAUGUGAAUUGCAGAAUCCAGUGAAUCAUCGAUUCUUUGAACGCACAUUGCGCCCGCCAGCAUUCUGGCGGGCAUGCCUGUUCGAGCGUCAUUUCAACCCUCGACCUCCCUUUGGGGAAGUCGGCGUUGGGGACCGGCAGCACACCGCCGGCCCUGAAAUGGAGUGGCGGCCCGUCCGCGGCGACCUCUGCGUAGUAAUCCAACUCGCACCGGAACCCCGACGCGGCCACGCCGUAAAGCACCCAACUUCUGAACGUUGACCUCGAAUCAGGUAGGACUACCCGCUGAACUUAAGCAUAUCAAUAAGCGGAGGA